Molecule: ribosomal RNA, 404 nt
Filed under: uncultured bacterium
Lineage: Bacteria
Description: bacterial SSU rRNA
Rfam family: Bacterial small subunit ribosomal RNA
Source: RNAcentral
ACUCCUACGGGAGGCAGCAGUGGGGAAUCUUGCGCAAUGGGCGAAAGCCUGACGCAGCCAUGCCGCGUGAAUGAUGAAGGUCUUAGGAUUGUAAAAUUCUUUCACCGGGGACGAUAAUGACGGUACCCGGAGAAGAAGCCCCGGCUAACUCCGUGCCAGCAGCCGCGGUAAUACGAAGGGGGCUAGCGUUGCUCGGAAUUACUGGGCGUAAAGGGAGCGUAGGCGGACAUUUAAGUCAGGGGUGAAAUCCCGGGGCUCAACCUCGGAAUUGCCUUUGAUACUGGGUGUCUUGAGUGUGAGAGAGGUAUGUGGAACUCCGGAGUGUAGAGGUGAAAUUCGUAGAUAUUCGGAAGAACACCAGUGGCGAAGGCGACAUACUGGCUCAUUACUGACGCUGAGGCUCG